CCUACGGGUGGCUGCAGUGGGGAAUAUUGGACAAUGGGGGGAACCCUGAUCUAGCCAUGCCGCGUGUGUGAAGAAGGCCCUCGGGUUGUAAAGCACUUUCAGUGAGGAAGAACGCCUGGUGGUUAAUACCCAUCAGGAAAGACAUCACUCACAGAAGAAGCACCGGCUAACUCCGUGCCAGCAGCCGCGGUAAUACGGAGGGUGCGAGCGUUAAUCGGAAUUACUGGGCGUAAAGCGCGCGUAGGUGGCUUGAUAAGCCGGUUGUGAAAGCCCCGGGCUCAACCUGGGAACGGCAUCCGGAACUGUCAAGCUAGAGUGCAGGAGAGGAAGGUAGAAUUCCCGGUGUAGCGGUGAAAUGCGUAGAGAUCGGGAGGAAUACCAGUGGCGAAGGCGGCCUUCUGGACUGACACUGACACUGAGGUGCGAAAGCGUGGGUAGCAAACAGGAUUAGAUACCCUUGUAGUC
This 465-nucleotide ribosomal RNA is filed under the name Vreelandella stevensii. Its description in RNAcentral is "partial 16S ribosomal RNA". It matches the Rfam family "Bacterial small subunit ribosomal RNA", at positions 338 to 795 of the family's 1533-position model. Lineage: Bacteria; Pseudomonadati; Pseudomonadota; Gammaproteobacteria; Oceanospirillales; Halomonadaceae. The record is from RNAcentral.